AUGACUUUCCGUGAGUUCAAAGGGGACCGAGGCGAGGUUGGCUUCCUGGAGUAUGUCUUUCAGAGUGCGCGGGCGCUGGAGAUGGUAGCUAUUUUCAUGGCCAAUCCAAGCUCCACGCCGUUCUCGGAGGACGAGGCGUUUGUCAAGGCGCAAUACAGCGCUAGAAACAUGAAGAGUAAAUCCUGCCAAAAGUGCAUCAUCGGGAGUAGCCAUCCUGCAGGACGCGAUGCUUGGAGCCUCAAAAUUGGGGCAGAUUUCAACUUUGAGGACCCGUUUACGGUGACGACGGUGGAGGAGGAAGCCAGCUGA
This 309-nucleotide ribosomal RNA is filed under the name Triticum aestivum (bread wheat). RNAcentral's name for it is "partial small subunit ribosomal RNA". The record is from RNAcentral. Lineage: Eukaryota; Viridiplantae; Streptophyta; Magnoliopsida; Poales; Poaceae.